RNAcentral lists this ribosomal RNA (252 nucleotides) under uncultured Planctomycetaceae bacterium. RNAcentral describes it as "partial 16S ribosomal RNA". It matches the Rfam family "Bacterial small subunit ribosomal RNA", at positions 796 to 1041 of the family's 1533-position model. The record is from RNAcentral. Lineage: Bacteria; Pseudomonadati; Planctomycetota; Planctomycetia; Planctomycetales; Planctomycetaceae.
CUAGCCGUAAACAAUGAGCACUGGAUUGAAGGGUCCUCCAUAGCCUUUCAGUCGUAGCGAAAGUGUUAAGUGCUCCGCCUGGGGAGUAUGGUCGCAAGGCUGAAACUCAAAGAAAUUGACGGGGGCUCACACAAGCGGUGGAGGAUGUGGCUUAAUUCGAGGCUACGCGAAGAACCUUAUCCUAGUCUUGACAUGCUUGGAUUAACCCUAUGAAAGUAGGGCCACGCCUUCGGGUGGAACAAGCACAGGUGC